CACAAAUAUGAAGGCGGGCUGGAGCCUCUCGGGGCUGCAGUCUUGCUGAAUUAUUCACCCGUGUCUUUUGCGUACUCUUUGUUUCCUGGGUGGGUUCGCCCACCACCAGGACCAACCCAUAAACCUUUUGUAAUUGCAGUCAGCGUCAGUAACAAUAUAAAUAUUUA
Molecule: unclassified non-coding RNA, 167 nt
Filed under: uncultured Ascomycota
Lineage: Eukaryota; Fungi; Ascomycota
Description: sequence contains ITS1
Source: RNAcentral